AUUUCCCCACAACUUGGUGUAAAACAGCAAACAUCUAUUACCUCUGGGUUUCUGUGGGCAAGAAUUUAGGAGUAACUUAGUCGGGUGGUCCUGGCUCCAGAUGGCUCAGGAGGAAGCAGUUAAGGCAUCCGAGGCUGGACCGGGGCGGGAGGAGCUGCUCGCGUGGGUGCCCUCGUGUAGGGGCCUCGGGGGCCACUUUUCAUCUCUGCAGGUGGACACCAUGGGUCUUUCGUGACCUUUCCCCAGAAGUGUCUCCAUCAUCACCUCGUCCACACCUGUCAGAAGCACGAACCCACAUCCAAUCCUCACUCCAAGGGAGGAGAACUUGGGAAGAGUCUCAGACCUUGCAGACAUGUUAACCCAUCACAUGAAGGUCACAAAAAUGACCAGGUACAGAAGGACCUGUGGCACACAGUCCGUUCUCUCCCUCCCGCCCAGUUCUGGAAAAUUCUAGAAACAGUGUGCGCAUACAUGCGCAUUUGUGAACACAGCCGUUCCGUCAGUCUGCCGUUACAAAACACCAGACUGGGUGGCUCAAGCAACAGGAUAAAAAUGUUCUGGCAGGGCUUGUUUCUAGGAAGUUCCUGCUUCCCGAGUUGCAGACUGCCAGCUGCCUUCUUGCUGUGUCCUCACGUGGCCUUUCCUCAGUGCACCUGUGCAGGGAGGGAGGGACAGCAAGUCCCUGAGGACGCAAACCCUAUCUGGACAGGGCCUGACCCUUCUGACCUUGCUUUCCCCACAUCACACCCUGGGGCCCAUCUCCAGCAGCCACGCUCGGGACUGGAGCUUUAGCACAGAAUUGACGUGGCGGAGGACACGUUUGGAACCGCCGCGCGUUUCAACUCAAGUACUGGCGUUCGUGGUCCCCUCUUCUGCACGUCAUCUUUUUAGCCAGGGCACAUUUCCUGGGGCCCGUAGCACCGCAGACGAUGUCUGCGGCUGUGAGGUGGGCGCCUCGUUACCAACACUUAACUGGUCUGUUAAAUCCUGUCGAUGCCGCCGUAACAACACCUGUGUCACAGUGUCACUGCAGACACGUAUAAAUAAUGUCUGUCGCUUAAA
This is a long non-coding RNA of Leopardus geoffroyi (Geoffroy's cat), 1062 nucleotides long. RefSeq lists it as uncharacterized. NCBI's taxonomy places the organism in Eukaryota, Metazoa, Chordata, Mammalia, Carnivora, Felidae. The record is from RefSeq and is a predicted model, not a curated record. The transcript is spliced from 2 exons.